Molecule: non-coding RNA, 25 nt
Filed under: Rattus norvegicus (Norway rat)
Lineage: Eukaryota; Metazoa; Chordata; Mammalia; Rodentia; Muridae
Source: RNAcentral
UCCCCAAAAGGGAAAAUUGGAACCC